GAGGGGUGCUAGCGUUAUUCGGAAUCAUUGGGCGUAAAGGGUGUGUAGACGGCAAAUUAAGUCAACUGUUAAAUUCUUUGGCCUAACCAAAGAUCAGCGGUAGAUACUGGUUUGAUAGAGGAUGGAAGAGAGAAGUGGAAUUCUCGGAGUAGCGGUAAAAUGCGUAGAUCUCGAGAGGAACAUCGAUGGCGAAGGCAGCUUCUUAGUCCAUUCCUGACGUUGAUACACGAAAGCGUGGGUAGCAAACAGGGAUUAGAUACCCUGGUAGUCCACGCUGUAAACGAUGAUCACUAGACGUUUGCUUCGCUUGCGAAGUGAGUGUCGUAGCUAACGCGUUAAGUGAUCCCGCCUGAGGACUACGGUCGCAAGACUA
Molecule: ribosomal RNA, 373 nt
Filed under: uncultured organism
Description: partial 16S ribosomal RNA
Rfam family: Bacterial small subunit ribosomal RNA
Source: RNAcentral